This 1865-nucleotide long non-coding RNA is filed under the name Anas platyrhynchos platyrhynchos (common mallard). RNAcentral describes it as "lncRNA (ENSAPLG00000018482.1)". Lineage: Eukaryota; Metazoa; Chordata; Aves; Anseriformes; Anatidae. The record is from RNAcentral.
UCCCCUUUAUCUCGCCUUCCCCUCAUCCUUCCUGGUCCUCCUUUCCUUUCUUCUCUCCUUAGCCACCUUUCUCCACUCCUCCCCAUCCCCCAGACUCCUUCUCCCCGUCCCCACGUUUCACACCCACCAGAAAUAAUGCUUCCUUCCUUCCUUUCUUAUUUUUGACGAGCAUUUUUAAUUUUCGGAGAGGGAAAAGAGCCGGGGAGAGCCGGUGGCAGACAGAGAUAAUCCCCCCCUUCUUUAAAGAACGGAUCUGAAUUAAUGCUCGUUCGGUGCUGCGCGUAUGACGGGAAGAGGGGGAUUAUAUUUAGGGAAGAAAAGAAAGGGUCAAAGGCGUCAGAGAUCUCCUCCUGCCUUUUAUCCUGGUGCGUCCCCAUCGUGUGCGGCCACCGCCGCGCUCCUCACGCCCGAGGGUCGGGGAGGGGGUGGUGGUCGCCGGCCUCCCUCUGCUCCAUCCCUGCCCUCUAGGCCUGUCGAAGCCCCGCCGGCUCCGUUGGGUGACCUGCAGCUCCUGUCGGAGGAAAGUUUGCUGGGUGUAAGAGGCGGCUUUGUCUGUCCGUGGAGCGGGCUUUGGGUGAUGCUUGGUGGAUUUUGGCGACGAGGCGGUGGUCCCUCGAAGCGUUGGGAGGCUGAUGAAGUGGAAGAAGUUUUGCUUGGAGGCGGCGGUGGGGAGCAGCGAGGCUCUGUCCCUGCUGACAGAUCUUGUUUGUGCUGUGGCAGUGCCUGGGGAAGUAACUUCAACAUAUUUCAUCCCGAGGAGUGCGUAGCAUGCACCUGCUCCUCUGUGGGGCAAAAGGCUGGACGUGCUCCCUCGUGCCGGGCCGGCAGCGUGAUGCCAGCUUGCUUUUGGAGGUGUCACUGGUGAUUUUUGGCAUGGUUUGGUGGUUUCAUGCCUCCUCAGAUGAGCAGUAGCACAUCUCUGUGGUAGUUAGCGUGUUUCAGGCAAUUUCAGCCUGUUCGGGCUUCUGUUUGCUGAGCUAGAAGUUUGUUUGUGCUUCGUGGGGAUAAACACUUGGAAACCCCUGUUAUCGUGGCAAACUAUAGAUGCUGCAGCAGCUGGUUGAAUGGCAAAACUCUGUCAGCCCUAACGAUGUGAACCCCUGCAUGUUCUCCUCUACCUUGGCGUGUAUUCCCUAAGAAACGUUGAUUGUGUUAACUUGUCAAGAUUGCAGCCACUGCGGUGUGUGCUGGAGCACAAGGUGGAGAAGUAGCAUCAAUAGGAGCAGCCUCAAACGCUGCUGGUGCACACAACAGAGCCGGUUGGCUUUGUGGCUCUCGCAGUGCUUCUCCUUUUCUCUUCUACCUAUUGUUUCCAUGAUUAAUAUUAUGUAUUGUAGCAAGCUCCUUGUACUCCAGGUCAAAGGGAAUUCUUUCUAGAAGAGAAAAAGUACUGCCCCGGAGGGUGAACUUUUGCACUCAAUUGUGUAAAGCUUUGUUUACAGACUGCUGCAGAAAUCCCCUCAGCUGUGGUGUGGGUAAGGUAGCUGUAAUGCCAUCAGUGGGCUCUGCUGGUGACAAAAGCCUCCACAGGAAAGCUCUCAUGUCACUUGAGCCCCGCAUGGAAAUGCAACCCUAAUUUAUGCAGAUUUUUGAAAGCGCUUUUUUAAUAUUAAUGCUGAACAUGCAUGCUACUACUGAAAUGCCUUUGAAACUGAAAACCAGGAGUAUUCAUAGACUGAGACUUUAAAGCCAAAGGAAGCAAUUAGAUCUUCUACUCUGACCUCUUGACUGUUACAGUCAAUUGGAUUUUAUCCAGUUACUUCUGAGUGCAAUAACUUGCAUUUGGCUGAAACACAUUUUCCAGGAAAAAAUGGAAUUUUGAUCGGAAGACGGUAAGAGGUGGGGAACCCGCUGCUUGUUAAGUU